Molecule: non-coding RNA, 142 nt
Filed under: Fragilariopsis kerguelensis
Lineage: Eukaryota; Bacillariophyta; Bacillariophyceae; Bacillariales; Bacillariaceae
Source: RNAcentral
GCAGUGGUGAUGGGAAGGGCCGUGGUUGCAACAAACCCUUUGGCUUUAAAAUGUUUCAUUGUUCCGAUCGUGUCAUGAAGAAUUUGAAAGAAGAGGUACGGACCGACCGUGAAAAACGUGCCACAAUCACCGAACAAAAACG